CCCGCCGGCGACCGGCGCACGGGUGAGUAACACGUAUGAAACCUGCCCGUAGCAGGGGGAUAAGCGGAAGAAAUUCCGUCUAAUGCCGCGUAACAACCCAUGGAGGCAUCUCUGUGGGUUUAAAGGAAGCGAUUCCGGCUACGGAUGGUCAUGCGUCGCAUUAGCUUGUUGGCGGGGUAACGGCCCACCAAGGCGACGAUGCGUAGGGGUUCUGAGAGGAAGGUCCCCCACACUGGUAUUGAGACACGGACCAGACUCCUACGGAAGGCAGCAG
RNAcentral lists this ribosomal RNA (274 nucleotides) under uncultured bacterium. RNAcentral's name for it is "partial 16S ribosomal RNA". It matches the Rfam family "Bacterial small subunit ribosomal RNA", at positions 84 to 354 of the family's 1533-position model. The record is from RNAcentral.